This is a microRNA precursor of Zostera marina, 100 nucleotides long. The record is from Rfam. Lineage: Eukaryota; Viridiplantae; Streptophyta; Magnoliopsida; Alismatales; Zosteraceae.
UUAAGCAGGAGAUAUUGCCGUGGCUCAAUUCGAAGGCAUGAUUGGAUCUAAAUCUGAACAUGUAAUCAGAUUGAGCCGCGUCAAUAUCUCUAGCUUCGUU